This 421-nucleotide ribosomal RNA is filed under the name uncultured bacterium. Its description in RNAcentral is "partial 16S ribosomal RNA". It matches the Rfam family "Bacterial small subunit ribosomal RNA", at positions 360 to 773 of the family's 1533-position model. The record is from RNAcentral.
AAUAUUGGACAAUGGGGGCAACCCUGAUCCAGCCAUGCCGCGUGUGUGAAGAAGGUCUUCGGAUUGUAAAGCACUUUACGUUGGGAGGAUGGGCUUUAGGUUAAUACCCUGAAGUUUUGACGUUACCAACAGAAUAAACACCGGCUAACCGUGUGCCAGCAGCCACGGUAAUACAGAGGGUGCAAGCGUUAAUCGGAAUUACUGGUCGUAAAGAGCGCGUAGGUGGUUCAGUAAGAUGGGUGUGAAAUCCCCGGGCUUAACCUGGGAACUGCUUUCAUAACUGAUGAGCUAGAGUACGGUAGAGGGUAGUGGAAUUUCCUGUGUAGCGGUGAAAUGCGUAGAUAUAGGAAGGAACACCAGUGGCGAAGGCGACUACCUGGACUGAUACUGACACUGAGGUGCGAAAGCGUGGGGAGCAAAC